GACGUAGGGGGCGAGCGUUGUUCGGAAUUACUGGGCGUAAAGCGUGCGUAGGCGGACUUAUAAGUCAAGGUUGAAAUAUCCGGGCUCAACUCGGGGCACGGCCUUGAUACUGCAAGUCUUGAGUCAAGUAGAGGGUAAUGGAAUUCCCGGUGUAGCGGUGAAAUGCGUAGAUAUCGGGAAGAACACCAAAGGCGAAAGCGCUCUGCUGGGCCGAAACUGACACUGAGAGACGAAAGCUAGGGGAGCGAAUGGG
RNAcentral lists this ribosomal RNA (253 nucleotides) under uncultured prokaryote. RNAcentral describes it as "partial 16S ribosomal RNA". It matches the Rfam family "Bacterial small subunit ribosomal RNA", at positions 524 to 776 of the family's 1533-position model. The record is from RNAcentral.